RNAcentral lists this unclassified non-coding RNA (373 nucleotides) under soil metagenome. RNAcentral's name for it is "partial contains 5.8S ribosomal RNA, internal transcribed spacer 2, and large subunit ribosomal RNA". The stretch from base 1 to 121 matches the Rfam family "5.8S ribosomal RNA", at positions 35 to 154 of the family's 154-position model. The record is from RNAcentral.
GAUGAAGAACGUAGCGAAAUGCGAUAAGUAAUGCGAAUUGCAGAAUUCCAGUGAGUCAUCGAAUCUUUGAACGCACAUUGCGCCCUUUGGUAUUCCGAAGGGCAUGCCUGUUCGAGCGUCAUUAUCACCCCUCAAGCCCUCGGCUUGGUGUUGGACGGUUUGGUGGAGGCCCCCUCGGGGGUUCCUGCCCCUCCCAAAGACAAUGACGGCGGCCUCGUUGGACCCCCGGUACACUGAGUUCUUCACGGGACACGUAUCGGACACAUGGGUUUACGGGACACGGUCUGCCUCCCCUCAGGGAGAAUCUUUCUAAGGUUGACCUCGGAUCAGGUAGGGAUACCCGCUGAACUUAAGAAUAUCAAUAAGCGGAGGA